This 253-nucleotide ribosomal RNA is filed under the name uncultured bacterium. RNAcentral's name for it is "partial 16S ribosomal RNA". It matches the Rfam family "Bacterial small subunit ribosomal RNA", at positions 524 to 776 of the family's 1533-position model. The record is from RNAcentral.
UACGGGGGGGGCAAGCGUUGUUCGGAAUUACUGGGCGUAAAGGGCUCGUAGGCGGCCAACUAAGUCAGACGUGAAAUCCCUCGGCUUAACCGGGGAACUGCGUCUGAUACUGGAUGGCUUGAGAUUGGGAGAGGGAUGCGGAAUUCCAGGUGUAGCGGUGAAAUGCGUAGAUAUCAGGAGGAACACCGGUGGCGAAGGCGGGUCUCUGGGCCGUAACUGACGCUGAGGAGCGAAAGCGUGGGGAGCGAACAGG